UACGUAGGCAGCAAGCGUUGUUCGGAGUUACUGGGCGUAAAGAGUAUGUAGGCGGUUGGGUAAGUUUGGUGUGAAAUCUCCCGGCUUAACUGGGAGGGUGCGCUAAAGACUGCCUGGCUCGAGUGUGGGAGAGGAAAGCGGAAUUCCUGGUGUAGCGGUGAAAUGCGUAGAUAUCAGGAGGAACACCAGUGGCGAAGGCGGCUUCCUGGACACAGACUGACACUGAGGCACGAAAGCGUGGGUAGCAAACAGG
This 253-nucleotide ribosomal RNA is filed under the name uncultured bacterium. RNAcentral describes it as "partial 16S ribosomal RNA". It matches the Rfam family "Bacterial small subunit ribosomal RNA", at positions 524 to 776 of the family's 1533-position model. The record is from RNAcentral.